Long non-coding RNA from Oncorhynchus tshawytscha (Chinook salmon), 832 nucleotides. Lineage: Eukaryota; Metazoa; Chordata; Actinopteri; Salmoniformes; Salmonidae. The record is from Ensembl.
GCACUCGCAAGAGCUGCCAAAGAUAACAGUGAUGGAUGUACAUCGUCUGGCUCAGACAAGUAGCAAAGCACCGAACUCCAAGUUGGAAAAAGGAUUCAAACUUUGUCUCCAGUUACCUUUUCAACUAUGAAGGUUGUACUGAAGCCGGUAACAAUCACACAUCACUGUUCAUGUGUUGCUGGCACCUCAUUAUGCAACCACACAGUUGCGUUACUAUUCCAGUCUGCACACUAUUCCCGGAUGGGGACACCAGUCAUCCCACCUGUGCACGGAGGCCGAACAGCAGUGGCAUAAGCCAAGGACAAUGGGUCUGCAACCUGGGCCCAUAGGCAAAAUGACCAUCACCUACCCCACCAAAAAGCGCACGGCAGAAGGAGGGAUUAGAAGUACUCUACAGCGCCCUUCUUGGACCACUCCCCGACCUCUCAGUUCUCCAGAUAGAAGAGGCAUACAAAAACUUUGACCCUCUAUCCAAGCCAUUGAUCUGCAGCAUGGGGAUGUCUGCUGAAAAGCUUUUAGUCGGCUCCCACUUUGGAAAGGUACAGGUGGGGAGCCUCCUGUCUUACCAGCAGCCUCCAAUCACAACGUGACACAUAGUUCACCAUAAGGAGACACCACCAUUCCCUUCACUGCCCCUGGAUGGCUACAGACUAGAGAGCGACUGUCAAGGCUGCACAUGUGUGCUCAGUGAAGACGACCAGCUUCACAUAGUCUCUUCAGGAUGUUAGACAACGUGGAUGGUCACAGCAAAAGAAGGAAAGAUGCAAUGCAGUAGUAGCUCAUUGCUCCUUGGCCCAUGCCUUCACAAGAGGCCCACACUGGUAGUUUUGUG